RNAcentral lists this long non-coding RNA (1547 nucleotides) under Phaseolus vulgaris (common bean). RNAcentral's name for it is "long non-coding RNA (PVUL_LNC001074)". The record is from RNAcentral. Lineage: Eukaryota; Viridiplantae; Streptophyta; Magnoliopsida; Fabales; Fabaceae.
UAGAUGUUUCAAACUCAUCAAGAUUCAUGUCUUGGAAGAAAAGAACGGUCUAAAAUGAGAGUGAAAGCAGAAACAACAAGAAACGGGUACACUGGAACACAAUCCAACCCAGGAAUUAAAAGGUGAGGAAGCGAAACCCGGGAAGAGACACAAGUGGUCAGACUGCAACACUGAGUCUGAGUAGUACAAUACACCAAACCUUACCACUUCCCAUUUUCACACCACCCUAACCCUAACCCUUUGGUCCACGCCUUUAACCAUGGUUACUUACAGUUCCAUUCCACGGGUUAGUUUAUGAACUCACUCAGUCAAACAUCAUCACCACCUUUUUUUAACCCUCCUCUAUUCACUGUCUCUCUUCUAGGUACCUGCACGUUAAAUCUUUAUUAUUAACUGCAGAAAAUAAUUAUAGGUGUGUUAUGGGAACAGCACAAGAUUGGACAAACAAAAAGAGAGAAGAAGAAUUAAACGGGUUGAGUUUUUCUGAUUUGGUUAUUAGCUUUUAUAUUCCACUGUGUAAGUUCAGAAGGGUGUUUGGUUGUUUUAAUAAUAAUGUUUAAAAUCUGGAUUCUGGUCAAAGAUGUAUCAGUCUACUUGCUUUUUGACGUAUAGAGAUAUGGUUGGUUUUGCUUUGCAUUAGAAAAAAGCAGAAUCAGGAAUCAGAAGAUUUUACUGGUAGUGGUUGUAUUGUAUAUGUUGUGUUCGACUAGGUUUAAUGAUCUAUGAAAAACAUGAUCUAGGAAAUUGUCAGAUAUUAUUAAAGACAGAGUGGUUGGGGUGGGGGUGGUUAUUAUUAUUUGAUAGAGAAGUAUUUAUGGGGAAAAAGAAACGACAAAGAACAAAGGAACUUUCGGUAGCGAUUGCUGAGGCUUCAUCCAAAGGAGGUGACACGGAGCAUCAUCUUCAACAACAACCUCAGCCUCCUCGAAAGAGAGGGAGACCUCGUAAGGUUGUUGUUGUGGAAACGGAAAGCGAGGGGGAAAAAGUGGAACCAGAAGCUUCUGCAGCAACCAUGAAAGAAGAACAACAACAACAUGGGAAGCCACAAGAGGAGUUAAUAUCAGCAUCGGCAACAUGCACGGUGAUAGUUACAAAGGAAGAGGGUGUGUUGGAAGAGAUUCAACUCCCAAAAGGAGAACCCUCAAGAAGCAGGUCCAGACGCAAAAGCAAACCCAGAAAAAGCACUUGAAAAUCAUUACCUUCUUUUAUAAUUUCCGACCCUUUUUGUUCUCCAGAACGAAGCAAAAGAAAGAGAUUCUUGGGCAAUCGGAAUAGAUAAGGAGAAAGAAAAGAACUAACCACUUAUUGGAUUGGGUUAUUGAGCUUGUCAUGUUUUUCGAAUGAUUGAAAUGGAAAAGGCAAGCAUCCAAAGAACUUUUUCUUCAGGUUCUAAGGUUUAUCUAAUCACUGGGCUAUUAGGAUUGUUUAUGGUUGAAUACAAUGUUUCAUUCCCAGAACUUGCUUUUAACUGUGAUAGCAAUAUAUUAUAAUCUCUUGAAUGCUUGUUACUGAAUAUGUUGUCUCUUAAUAGUGAAGAUAUUGGUUCA